Molecule: ribosomal RNA, 478 nt
Filed under: Solobacterium moorei
Lineage: Bacteria; Bacillati; Bacillota; Erysipelotrichia; Erysipelotrichales; Erysipelotrichaceae
Description: bacterial SSU rRNA
Rfam family: Bacterial small subunit ribosomal RNA
Source: RNAcentral
GAUGAACGCUGGCGGCGUGCCUAAUACAUGCAAGUCGAACGCUGGAGAUCCAGCUUGCUAGAUCGAAGGAGUGGCGAACGGGUGAGUAAUACAUAAGCAACCUACCCACGAAGACUGGGAUAAUCUCUGGAAACGGGGACUAAUACCGGAUAGGUAAUCGGAAGGCAUCUUCUGGUUAUUAAAGGUUAAAAACACUGGUGGAUGGGCUUAUGGCGCAUUAGUUAGUUGGUGAGGUAACGGCCCACCAAGACGAUGAUGCGUAGCCGGCCUGAGAGGGUGAACGGCCACAUUGGGACUGAGACACGGCCCAGACUCCUACGGGAGGCAGCAGUAGGGAAUUUUCGGCAAUGGGGGCAACCCUGACCGAGCAACGCCGCGUGAGUGAAGACGGCCUUCGGGUUGUAAAGCUCUGUUGUAAGGGAAGAACGGUAGAUAGAGAAUAUCUAAGUGACGGUACCUUACCAGAAAGCCACGGCUA